RNAcentral lists this transfer RNA (72 nucleotides) under Sus scrofa (pig). RNAcentral's name for it is "tRNA-Cys (GCA) (tRNA-Cys-GCA-11-1)". It matches the Rfam family "tRNA". Rfam says of the family: Transfer RNA (tRNA) molecules are approximately 80 nucleotides in length. Their secondary structure includes four short double-helical elements and three loops (D, anti-codon, and T loops). The record is from Rfam by way of RNAcentral. Lineage: Eukaryota; Metazoa; Chordata; Mammalia; Artiodactyla; Suidae.
GGGGGUACAGCUCAGGGGUAGAGCAUUUGACUGCAGAUCAAGAGGUCCCCGGUUCAAGUCCGGGUGCCCCCU